Molecule: long non-coding RNA, 366 nt
Filed under: Cricetulus griseus (Chinese hamster)
Lineage: Eukaryota; Metazoa; Chordata; Mammalia; Rodentia; Cricetidae
Description: lncRNA (ENSCGRG00000025680.1)
Source: RNAcentral
CCAGUUCCCUCUCCCUCCCAUUCUCCCAUACCCUGAUGGGGGAAGUGCUUCUGUGUAUGUGUUUGUUUUGUUGGAUGAUAAAUAAAGUACAGUUUGGCCAAUGAGGCAGCAAGUUAGAUGGGACUAGGAGUCAAGGAGGAUUCUGGGAAAUGUAGUAAAGAAGUGGUGAUCCAUGCAGGAAGUGACAUAGCAGGGAGACUCAUAAACAAGGGCAAAAAGGAAGUGGGCCCCUUCUCUCUUCCUCCUGGUCUCUGCUGUAGAGUCACCAUGUGGUCCUGGGAUGAGGACACCAAUGGAAGGUGUCCGAUAAGGCUGUGUUGUCCACUGGGAAAGCAGCAGAAAUACCUGUCAGGCAGGAACCCCUGA